Molecule: microRNA precursor, 72 nt
Filed under: Otolemur garnettii (small-eared galago)
Lineage: Eukaryota; Metazoa; Chordata; Mammalia; Primates; Galagidae
Description: miRNA (ENSOGAG00000021298.1)
Source: RNAcentral
UCUACCAAAAAUAUCUGGGCAUGGUGUACAUGUCUGUAGUCCCAGCUACUGGGGAGGCUGAGGCAGGAGGAU